AGGAAAAUGAUGGCCUUGAUGGUAUUUUACCCUACCCAGAUGUAGCAGAGCUUGGGCGUGGUAUUAACAUUGGAAAUGACGUUAUCCAUCAAAGUAGUGAUGAUGACGACGACGACGACGAUGAGGAGGAUGAUCAUGAGAACGGUUACACUCUUUCAUGGAAGGAGUUACCUCAUCACGUUAUUGACGCAGGUGUGACGGAGCCCAGACGAUCAAGUAGAAUUAACAAAGGAGUGAAUCCUAAUCCUGGUCGACUGCCGAUGUCGGCGAUCACCGGAUUACCCCCCUGAUGGAGUUAAGUGAUGUGCGCAUCGAAAGCGGCGAAGAGGAACCGUUUAGUUGCAUCAGUUGGGAAGGGAUAUAUAUAUAUAUAUUUUCGACAAUUUUUUAGAUAGAGUAUUUCAGCAUGAAAUAAGCGGGGAAGAUUGCCUGGAUAUUCAUGAUUUUCUUUGUUUUUGUUCUAAAAAAAAAAAAAGAAAAGAGGGAAAAGAAUAGGCUACAAACAGAAUUUGUUUAGGAACUUGUAUUUGAAGGAGAAUUAGGAAAUUCAAGUCUUAUAAGUGGCAUAAAUAUAUGUUAUGUAUAACAAGGCUUCAACAGUUUUUGAUAAGGCAAGCUAAAUGAUGUUGACUUAUUUUUAUGUAAAUAGUUCAGAUUGGCUUGUUAUGCAGGAAAUAAGGUUUAUAUUUUCGUCAUUGGAGCCAGAUUAGUAUGCAGUGAUCUCAUUUGAUAGCACUCAUUGGAGAUUUGUAUACUAUAGUUGGUAUACAGUAGUGAGGUGUAUAGAAAGGAUUUUUUUUUUUUAAUCAUACUGUUGUACAUUAUGAUUAAGGAUAUAUUUGAUGUUGAAGAAAGGAAAAAAAGAAAUUGUGUAUAGUCUAUAGGAUAAUGUUCUUUUUGUGUUACAGAAAAGAUAUUACAGUAUAAUGGUCUAUAGGUUCUUUUUCAAUUGAAGUUUGAUUGAAUGUUUAUCGAUGAGGAAUUUUAUGUUACAUAGGUACACAUUGGCGCUUUCGGGACGAAAGCUGUUUAAGCGGGGAAACUGUGGGAAUGUGGACUAGUUUAUGUUUUAUGUAGAUCGCGGACUUGUCCGAUUAUGCAAAUUAGUUCGCUACGCGUGUUGCACAUGAUUUUGCGGAUGAAUGAUUUAUUGUGUAAUACGCCGCCCACGUUAAUGUGUUAACAUACAUAUUAGUAUUGAAUCACAUUCAUGUCACGUUCAAUUGCGGAGAGGACGUUGUUGCUGUGCCUGUAGCUGUGUAUUACAGAGUCACGCGGUUUCCUUGUUUUAGCGAGGGUUUUGGUUCAACUGUUUGGCAGUAUUUUCGAGGGCAAGAUCAGGACUUGCAUGUUGCAGCUUCUGUUGCUGAGCUGAGCUGAGUUGAUUGCUGGUAGUUUCUUGGUGUCUCCCUUUUCCCCUUCACUUCCUUCUCCACUGUAGUUGAGAGCUUCAGUGGUUUAUUGCUGAAGACUUUGGGUAUGUUUUAAUGAUAUUCUGGUAAAGUUUGCAACAGACUUUGUGUAACUUUACUCAGUCUAAUAUUGCAGUGUGUUUAACAAUUUAUAUGUAUAUUGAUGUUAUGGGACAAUUUUAUAUUUGUUCCAUCGUAUUAUAAAUACUUACAGAUAAGUACAUGUAUUCUUGUUUGUCUGAUGCAAGUAUGAUGCUCUGAUUACUGUUUGAGAUUCUUACAGCUGAUUUGAUGUUUAGAUAUAAUUAUGUCAUUCCAGUUAAUGAUUAUAAUAUUUGAUUUCAGUGAUUUUACAAGAGAAUCAAGAUGAAACAGAUUUGAUUUGGAGAUCAAGUUGUAAUUACUUAAUAUGACAUUUAAUCAA
Strongylocentrotus purpuratus (purple sea urchin) is the source of this 1836-nucleotide long non-coding RNA. RefSeq lists it as uncharacterized. The record is from RefSeq and is a predicted model, not a curated record. Lineage: Eukaryota; Metazoa; Echinodermata; Echinoidea; Camarodonta; Strongylocentrotidae. The transcript is spliced from 2 exons.